Molecule: long non-coding RNA, 1672 nt
Organism: Oreochromis aureus
Lineage: Eukaryota; Metazoa; Chordata; Actinopteri; Cichliformes; Cichlidae
Source: Ensembl
GAAAUCAUCGUCCUCUUCUUGCAAUUCACAUCUGACUUUUGAAAUAUAUCUAUGACUAUAAAUUUGUCCAUAUUCAGCCAACAUAUCCUCAGAGCCAUUGCGCAAUGUAUGUAGGCUGUUCAUGUUGUACAGUGAGCUGAGCAUCUGUCCUGUUUUGUAAGUAUUGUGGCUAAUUUGGCGAAUUUCCACUUUUCCAUUCCACAAUUUCCCGUCCAUUUUCAAGCCUCUGCCAGCAGUUUUGUUUUUUGUUUUUUUUUAAACCAUGAAUCACUUCUUUUGGAAAAUGUGCUUUUCCUAUUGGUUAACAAGAAGGACCAAAUUUAUUUAGGAUUAGAUAAAAGAGCCAAAAUGGAAAAGUCGUCUUAUGACACUAAAAAUACAUGAUGCAGUGGUACAUUUAUAUUUUAAAUGCUGCUAUCAUUCUGGAUUUACAUUGUUUGCCCCAAGCCAAGUACAACCAUCACCUCUUAGGAGAAAGGUGACUAAAUUUAACAAUAGCAAACUAGCAGAAGUUGCACAUACUGAUUUUGCCAUUCUGCAGGGGGAUAAACAAACUCUACGGUGUUGGUGCAUGAUUACGUCGAUGUUAGGGGUGCUUAGAGAUGCAACAAAGGACAUUUCCAACGGCAUAAUUUUACAUCAGUUUUUGAGCUCUAUUCUUUGUGGUUGAUGUCACAUUUUUGCACAAUAUUACUUUAAAAAAAAUUAACUGUUUUAGUACUCAGUUUUAUUCAGAAAGUGAAUUCUAUCUAUAUAUAAAUAUAUAUGCAAAUAUAUUUAUAGUGUUUUCUGUCAGUUGUACUGAGCUUAGAUUUUUGUGACUCUUGCAAAAUGCUCAAACUUGCUUUCCUUCUAUUUUCUCCACUCGUCAUUCUCCUCUCUCCAUCUCCUGUCAGUUUCAUUAGUGCAGUCAGAAAGCUUCUAACACCGAUACACACCUGUAAACCCGGGCGUGUCAAAGCUUUUCACAAGUUCCUCCAGCAUUUCGUCAGACUGCUUCUUUUUGAAAACACGCACACACAAACAGUCCACCAGGUCCUGACAGCUUUGAGAUCUUAAUCUUUCGUUUUCUCCGGCACACUUAACAGUUUGGAAAAAAUAUGUUUUUGGCAGCCUCUCGAGGGAGGAAGGGUGAGGAAAAAUGAAGGAGGCAGAGAGGAAGAGCUGAGGAGUAAAUAACAAGUGAGGAAGAUCAGGUCAUCCAGCCAGAAAAAGAGGUUCUGCUGUGAAGGUACUGAACCAAAAUGGUUAGAACCUUCUGGGGAUUUUUCUUUUUUAAACACAUGAGGUACAUUUGCUGGAAAUAUUCAAACUGGAGAUGGUAAAACUCAUCUUUACCCAGCUGUUUACAACAAAGUGAAGCAGUCUUGUUACUUUAAUAUAGAAAUUCUCCCAUUUUCUGCUUACAUUUUCUUCUUCUUGUACAGCCGAAUACCUGCUUUCUUACUUGCAGUCUACACUAAACAAUAUCGGUGUUUCUUACUCAUUUUAGUUUGGUUUUAUUUAUUGUUUACAGGCACCUCCGUCUACAUAUUUAAGAGUGUGUGAUGUAUUGCAUGUAUGAGCUUAACGUGAUGUAACAGAGCAGGUUGAUUCUACUGUGCAUCCUAUAAAUGUGCUGUGUAAAACUGUGUUGUCAUCAUGUCCAAUAAAGAUGAAAAUGUGACUGUGG